RNAcentral lists this long non-coding RNA (1351 nucleotides) under Pogona vitticeps (central bearded dragon). Its description in RNAcentral is "lncRNA (ENSPVIG00000005426.1)". The record is from RNAcentral. Lineage: Eukaryota; Metazoa; Chordata; Lepidosauria; Squamata; Agamidae.
UAUUUCCACAUUACCAUACUCAGAAGCCACAGGAAAUACUUGCGUCUACUCUUCAACAACACUGCUUAUCAAUUUGUGGCCCUACCAUUCGGCCUCUCCACAGCACCAAGGACUUUUACCAAGUGCAUGGCGCCUGUGGCUGCAUACCUUCGCCUCCAAGGAGUCCAGAUAUACCCUUACAUAGGCGACUGGUUGAUUGUCUCCAAAUCGAAACACCAAGCUCUAUGGGACACCCAGUACGUCCUCCAAACACUGGAGUCCUUGGGUCUCACUAUAAACUACGAGAAGUCCAAACUACGUCCUUCUCGGGUUGUGGAUUACAUCGGAGCGAGGAUAGAUUCUGUCCGAGCUCGGAUGUUCAUGCCUCCGGAACACAUUCAGAAAAUACUGGGAGCCAUCAAGAAAUUCAAGCCCCACGCAAGAGUAAAAGCAAAGCUUGCACAACAUCUGUUGGGUCUCAUGGCUUCGACAACGGCCACUCUGUCUCACGCCCGCCGCAAGAUGCGCUCCCUGCAGGUUUGGAUGCUGUCACUCUUCAAUCCACUCCACGACAGCCAAAACAGACGUCUGAUAGUCACCCCAGAACUGGCUCUGCAGUUACAAUGGUGGACCUUUCUACCCCACCUGUUGGUGGGACGUCCCUUCAGCCCUGUUCAGCUAGCAACACAGGUUACUACGGAUGCCAGUCCUCUAGGAUGGGGGGCACACUGCGAAGGUCAUCAGAUCCACGCACUGUGGUCCCCUCAGGAAAAACAGCUUCAUAUAAACCAUCUAGAGCUCUUGGCCAUCAUAAAGGCUCUGAAGUCUUUUCUUCCCCUUGUGCGGGGCAGGGCAAUUCAGCUCGUCACAGACAAUACCACAGCUAUGUUCUACGUGAACAAGCAGGGGGGUACAAAGUCGAAGUCUCUUCUCCUCCUGUCUAUACAUCUUUGGGAAUGGUGCUACCAGGAGCACAUCUAUCCUGUAGCCAUUCACAUCUCCACCACAGACAAUCUAGUGGCGGACGAGCUGAGUCGUCGUUCCUCCCAGAACCACAAAUGGGAAUUGGACUUGGGAGUAUUCCACAAGAUAUGCGACAGGUGGGGGACUCUGAAAAUCGAUAUGUUCGCCACUGUGACCAACAAGAAGUGUCUGAACUAUGCGUCCCAUGCAGGGAGGGGUCGCGGAUCGUUAGGCGAUGCUUUCAUGAUUCCCUGGCACAAGGGCCUCCUGUACAUGUUUCCUCCCAUCCCCAUGGUUCAGAGGUCUCUUGUCAGGGCUCUCCAAAAGAAAGCAGAAGCAAUCUUGAUUGCACCUUGGUGGCCCAGACAACCUUGGUUCUCUCUGCUUCUUCAGACAGCUGUCGACAAAC